AUAUUUAUACAGUCAGCCAGCGCAAACCCAAUGCAGGCCACCUACGACGGAAAUAAGCCCAACUAUUUUGAGCCCAUGAUCGUUGCACCGAAGACGUCGACACGUGUCCUCCUCGGCCCAUCCACCCGUCACCCGCUCAGCCGUGCCCCUCCCCGUCUCCGGCGCGCGCCGAGGCGGCGCUGGAGGCCGGAGCAGAUCGCUGGCCGCCGCGUCCCACCUCCGAUCUGAU
Molecule: long non-coding RNA, 229 nt
Filed under: Setaria italica (foxtail millet)
Lineage: Eukaryota; Viridiplantae; Streptophyta; Magnoliopsida; Poales; Poaceae
Description: long non-coding RNA (SITA_LNC005628)
Source: RNAcentral